AUCCAACUGACGAGUCUCAAAUAGAAUGAGACGCGCAUCCUGGAU
Molecule: non-coding RNA, 45 nt
Organism: Schistosoma haematobium
Lineage: Eukaryota; Metazoa; Platyhelminthes; Trematoda; Strigeidida; Schistosomatidae
Source: Rfam